This 2901-nucleotide ribosomal RNA is filed under the name Escherichia coli. RNAcentral's name for it is "bacterial LSU rRNA". It matches the Rfam family "Bacterial large subunit ribosomal RNA". Lineage: Bacteria; Pseudomonadati; Pseudomonadota; Gammaproteobacteria; Enterobacterales; Enterobacteriaceae. The record is from RNAcentral.
UUAAGCGACUAAGCGUACACGGUGGAUGCCCUGGCAGUCAGAGGCGAUGAAGGACGUGCUAAUCUGCGAUAAGCGUCGGUAAGGUGAUAUGAACCGUUAUAACCGGCGAUUUCCGAAUGGGGAAACCCAGUGUGUUUCGACACACUAUCAUUAACUGAAUCCAUAGGUUAAUGAGGCGAACCGGGGGAACUGAAACAUCUAAGUACCCCGAGGAAAAGAAAUCAACCGAGAUUCCCCCAGUAGCGGCGAGCGAACGGGGAGCAGCCCAGAGCCUGAAUCAGUGUGUGUGUUAGUGGAAGCGUCUGGAAAGGCGCGCGAUACAGGGUGACAGCCCCGUACACAAAAAUGCACAUACUGUGAGCUCGAUGAGUAGGGCGGGACACGUGGUAUCCUGUCUGAAUAUGGGGGGACCAUCCUCCAAGGCUAAAUACUCCUGACUGACCGAUAGUGAACCAGUACCGUGAGGGAAAGGCGAAAAGAACCCCGGCGAGGGGAGUGAAAAAGAACCUGAAACCGUGUACGUACAAGCAGUGGGAGCCUCUUUAUGGGGUGACUGCGUACCUUUUGUAUAAUGGGUCAGCGACUUAUAUUCUGUAGCAAGGUUAACCGAAUAGGGGAGCCGAAGGGAAACCGAGUCUUAACUGGGCGUUAAGUUGCAGGGUAUAGACCCGAAACCCGGUGAUCUAGCCAUGGGCAGGUUGAAGGUUGGGUAACACUAACUGGAGGACCGAACCGACUAAUGUUGAAAAAUUAGCGGAUGACUUGUGGCUGGGGGUGAAAGGCCAAUCAAACCGGGAGAUAGCUGGUUCUCCCCGAAAGCUAUUUAGGUAGCGCCUCGUGAAUUCAUCUCCGGGGGUAGAGCACUGUUUCGGCAAGGGGGUCAUCCCGACUUACCAACCCGAUGCAAACUGCGAAUACCGGAGAAUGUUAUCACGGGAGACACACGGCGGGUGCUAACGUCCGUCGUGAAGAGGGAAACAACCCAGACCGCCAGCUAAGGUCCCAAAGUCAUGGUUAAGUGGGAAACGAUGUGGGAAGGCCCAGACAGCCAGGAUGUUGGCUUAGAAGCAGCCAUCAUUUAAAGAAAGCGUAAUAGCUCACUGGUCGAGUCGGCCUGCGCGGAAGAUGUAACGGGGCUAAACCAUGCACCGAAGCUGCGGCAGCGACACUAUGUGUUGUUGGGUAGGGGAGCGUUCUGUAAGCCUGUGAAGGUGUGCUGUGAGGUAUGCUGGAGGUAUCAGAAGUGCGAAUGCUGACAUAAGUAACGAUAAAGCGGGUGAAAAGCCCGCUCGCCGGAAGACCAAGGGUUCCUGUCCAACGUUAAUCGGGGCAGGGUGAGUCGACCCCUAAGGCGAGGCCGAAAGGCGUAGUCGAUGGGAAACAGGUUAAUAUUCCUGUACUUGGUGUUACUGCGAAGGGGGACGGAGAAGGCUAUGUUGGCCGGGCGACGGUUGUCCCGGUUUAAGCGUGUAGGCUGGUUUUCCAGGCAAAUCCGGAAAAUCAAGGCUGAGGCGUGAUGACGAGGCACUACGGUGCUGAAGUAACAAAUGCCCUGCUUCCAGGAAAAGCCUCUAAGCAUCAGGUAACAUCAAAUCGUACCCCAAACCGACACAGGUGGUCAGGUAGAGAAUACCAAGGCGCUUGAGAGAACUCGGGUGAAGGAACUAGGCAAAAUGGUGCCGUAACUUCGGGAGAAGGCACGCUGAUACGUAGGUGAAGUCCCUUGCGGAUGGAGCUGAAAUCAGUCGAAGAUACCAGCUGGCUGCAACUGUUUAUUAAAAACACAGCACUGUGCAAACACGAAAGUGGACGUAUACGGUGUGACGCCUGCCCGGUGCCGGAAGGUUAAUUGAUGGGGUUAGCGGUAACGCGAAGCUCUUGAUCGAAGCCCCGGUAAACGGCGGCCGUAACUAUAACGGUCCUAAGGUAGCGAAAUUCCUUGUCGGGUAAGUUCCGACCUGCACGAAUGGCGUAAUGAUGGCCAGGCUGUCUCCACCCGAGACUCAGUGAAAUUGAACUCGCUGUGAAGAUGCAGUGUACCCGCGGCAAGACGGAAAGACCCCGUGAACCUUUACUAUAGCUUGACACUGAACAUUGAGCCUUGAUGUGUAGGAUAGGUGGGAGGCUUUGAAGUGUGGACGCCAGUCUGCAUGGAGCCGACCUUGAAAUACCACCCUUUAAUGUUUGAUGUUCUAACGUUGGCCCCUGAUCGGGGUUGCGGACAGUGUCUGGUGGGUAGUUUGACUGGGGCGGUCUCCUCCUAAAGAGUAACGGAGGAGCACGAAGGUUGGCUAAUCCUGGUCGGACAUCAGGAGGUUAGUGCAAUGGCAUAAGCCAGCUUGACUGCGAGCGUGACGGCGCGAGCAGGUGCGAAAGCAGGUCAUAGUGAUCCGGUGGUUCUGAAUGGAAGGGCCAUCGCUCAACGGAUAAAAGGUACUCCGGGGAUAACAGGCUGAUACCGCCCAAGAGUUCAUAUCGACGGCGGUGUUUGGCACCUCGAUGUCGGCUCAUCACAUCCUGGGGCUGAAGUAGGUCCCAAGGGUAUGGCUGUUCGCCAUUUAAAGUGGUACGCGAGCUGGGUUUAGAACGUCGUGAGACAGUUCGGUCCCUAUCUGCCGUGGGCGCUGGAGAACUGAGGGGGGCUGCUCCUAGUACGAGAGGACCGGAGUGGACGCAUCACUGGUGUUCGGGUUGUCAUGCCAAUGGCACUGCCCGGUAGCUAAAUGCGGAAGAGAUAAGUGCUGAAAGCAUCUAAGCACGAAACUUGCCCCGAGAUGAGUUCUCCCUGACUCCUUGAGAGUCCUGAAGGAACGUUGAAGACGACGACGUUGAUAGGCCGGGUGUGUAAGCGCAGCGAUGCGUUGAGCUAACCGGUACUAAUGAACCGUGAGGCUUAACCUU